AGAUCUGCACGCAAUAGACCACUGAACGAAUAAAUGGCUCAGAACCAUUGACUCUAAAACUCUUCUGAUAACCAGAGGCCAAACGUGUUCGCUUAAUUGUUCCAAGCUAUAACAUGCUAGUCCGAUACUAUUAUAUCCACGGCAAGAGGAAAAUGUUACUAAAGACUGUUCACGACGUGCCUGAGCUGAGCUUGUGGGGUAGCAAAAUCUGGUCUUGUGUUGGUGGGGAAAUGACUCGUGCCUUUGUACAAGUU
Molecule: long non-coding RNA, 254 nt
Filed under: Populus trichocarpa (black cottonwood)
Lineage: Eukaryota; Viridiplantae; Streptophyta; Magnoliopsida; Malpighiales; Salicaceae
Description: long non-coding RNA (PTRI_LNC002604)
Source: RNAcentral